CUUCUAAUCAAACCAGGAUGAAUCACGGUGUAAGAACCUUGAUUUGGAUACAUAAUGGAGUGCAGAAUCACCAGGAAGUUGAAUAAAUCUUAUAGGAGUUAGGAUGAAGAAGCUAUCCCACUUUCAAACAAAGGGAUCCCAAUUUUCCUGUUUGGGAAUAUGACAACUUCUUCGUCAUUCUAAUCAAACCAGGAUGAGUCGGGAUGUAAGAAGCUUGAUUUGGAUACAUAAAGUAGUGGACAAUCACCAGGAAGUUGAAUAAAUGUAAUAGGAGUUAGGAUGAAGAAGUUAUCCCACUUUCAAAGCAAGAGAUCCCAGUUUUCUCGUUUGGAAAUAUGACAACUUCUUCGUCAUUCUAAUCAAACCAAGAUGACUCACGAUGUAAGAAUCUUGAUUUGGAUACAUAAAGUAGUGGACAAUCACCAGGAAGUUCAAUAAAUUUCAUAGGAGUUAGGAUGAAGAAGCUAUCCCACUUUCAAAGCAAGGGAUCCCAGUUUUCAUGUUUUGGAAAAUGACAACUUGUUCGUCAUUCUAAUCAAACCAGGAUGAAUCGCGAUGUAAGAAGCUUGAUUUGGAUACAUAAAGUAGUGGAGACUCACCAGGAAGUUGAAUAAAUCUCAUAGGAGUUAGGAUGAAGAAGCUACCCCACUUUCAAAGCAACGGAUCCCAAUUUUCCUGUUUGAGAAAAUGACAACUUCUUUGUCAGUCUAAUCAAACCAGGAUGAAUCACGGUGUAAGAAGGUUGAUUUGGAUACAUAAAAUAGCAGAGACUCCCUAGGAAGUUGAAUAAAUCUCAUAGGAGUUAGGAUGAUGAAGCUAUCCCACUGUCAAAUCAGGUGAUCCCAGUUUCCCUGUCUCGCAAUAUAACAACUUCUUCGUCAUUCUAAUCAAACCAGGAUGAAUCAGGAUGAUGAAGCUAUCCCACUGUCAAAUCAGGUGAUCCCAGUUUUCCUGUUUGGGAAUAUGACAACUUCUUCGUCCCUGUCUCGCAAUAUAACAACUUCUUCGUCAUUCUUAUCAAACCAGGAUGAACCGCGAUGUAAGAAGCUUGAUUUGGAUACAUAAAAUAGCAGAGACUCCCUAGGAAGUUGAAUAAAUCUUAUAGGAGUUAGGAUGAUGAAGCUAUCCCACUGUCAAAUCAGGUGAUCCCAGUUUUCCUGUUUGGGAAUAUGACAACUUCUUCGUCCCUGUCUCGCAAUAUAACAACUUCUUCGUCAUUCUUAUCAAACCAGGAUGAACCGCGAUGUAAGAAGCUUGAUUUGGAUACAUAAAAUAGCAGAGACUCCCUAGGAAGUUGAAUAAAUCUUAUAGGAGUUAGGAUGAUGAAGCUAUCCCACUGUCAAAUCAGGUGAUCCCAGUUUUCCUGUUUGGGAAUAUGACAACUUCUUCGUCCCUGUCUCGCAAUAUAACAACUUCUUCGUCAUUCUUAUCAAACCAGGAUGAACCGCGAUGUAAGAAGCUUGAUUUGGAUACAUAAAAUAGCAGAGACUCCCUAGGAAGUUGAAUAAAUCUUAUAGGAGUUAGGAUGAUGAAGCUAUCCCACUGUCAAAUCAGGUGAUCCCAGUUUUCCUGUUUGGGAAUAUGACAACUUCUUCGUCAUUCUAAUCAAACCAAGAUGAGUCGUGAUGUAAGAAUCUUGAUUUGGAUACAUAAAGUGGUGAACAAUCACCAGGAAGUUCAAUAAAUUUCAUAGGAGUUAGGAUGAAGAAGCUAUCCCACUUUCAAAGCAAGGGAUCCCAGUUUUCAUGUUUGGGAAAAUGACAACUUGUUUGUCAUUCUAAUCAAACCAGGAUGAAUCACGUUGUAAGAAGCUUGAUUUGGAUACAUAAAGUAGUGGAGACUCACCAGGAAGUUGAAUAAAUCUCAUAGGAGUUAGGAUGAAGAAGCUAUCCCACUUUGAAAGCAAGGGAUCCCAAUUUUCCUGUUUGGGAAAAUGACAACUUCUUCGUCAGUCAAUCAAACCAGGAUGAAUCACCUUGUAAGAAGGUUGAUUUGGAU
This 1998-nucleotide long non-coding RNA is filed under the name Brassica napus (rape). RNAcentral's name for it is "long non-coding RNA (BNAP_LNC026580)". The record is from RNAcentral. Lineage: Eukaryota; Viridiplantae; Streptophyta; Magnoliopsida; Brassicales; Brassicaceae.